CGAACGCUGGCGGCGUGCUUACCACAUGCAAGUCGAACGGAAAGGCCCCUUUGGGGGUACUCGAGUGGCGAACGGGUGAGUAACACGUGAGUAACCUGCCCUUGACUUCGGGAUAACUUCAGGAAACUGGGGCUAAUACCGGAUAGGAAUCCUUGCUGCAUGGUGGGGGUUGGAAAGCUUCGGCGGUUUUGGAUGGACUCGCGGCUUAUCAGCUUGUUGGUGGGGUAGUGGCUUACCAAGGCUUUGACGGGUAGCCGGCCUGAGAGGGCGACCGGCCACAUUGGGACUGAGAUACGGCCCAGACUCCUACGGGAGGCAGCAGUGGGGAAUAUUGCACAAUGGGCGGAAGCCUGAUGCAGCAACGCCGCGUGCGGGAUGACGGCCUUCGGGUUGUAAACCGCUUUCAGCAGGGGCGAAGCUUGUGGUGACGGUACCUGCAGAAGAAGCACCGGCUAACUACGUG
RNAcentral lists this ribosomal RNA (463 nucleotides) under uncultured bacterium. Its description in RNAcentral is "partial 16S ribosomal RNA". It matches the Rfam family "Bacterial small subunit ribosomal RNA", at positions 30 to 507 of the family's 1533-position model. The record is from RNAcentral.